RNAcentral lists this ribosomal RNA (535 nucleotides) under fungal endophyte sp. DM151. RNAcentral describes it as "eukaryotic LSU rRNA". It matches the Rfam family "Eukaryotic large subunit ribosomal RNA", at positions 98 to 657 of the family's 3401-position model. The record is from RNAcentral. Lineage: Eukaryota; Fungi.
GCGGCAACAGCUCAGAUUUGAAAUCUGGUCCCCAGGGCCCGAGUUGUAAUCUGUAGAGGAUGCUUUUGGCAAGGCGCCGUCCGAGUUCCCUGGAACGGGACGCCAUAGAGGGUGAGAGCCCCGUACAGGCGGACGCCGAGCCUCUGUAAAGCUCCUUCGACGAGUCGAGUAGUUUGGGAAUGCUGCUCAAAGCGGGAGGUACAUUUCUUCUAAAGCUAAAUACCGGCCAGAGACCGAUAGCGCACAAGUAGAGUGAUCGAAAGAUGAAAAGCACUUUGAAAAGAGAGUUAAAAAGCACGUGAAAUUGUUGAAAGGGAAGCGCCUGUGACCAGACUCGCGCCCGGCGGAUCAUCCGGCGUUCUCGCCGGUGCACUCCGCCGGGCUCGGGCCAGCAUCGGUUCUCGCGGGGGGAUAAAGGCUUCGGGGAUGUGGCUCCUCCGGGAGUGUUAUAGCCCGUUGCUCAAUGCCCUCGCGGGGACCGAGGACCGCGCAUUGCAAGGAUGCUGGCGUAAUGGUCACCAGCGACCCGUCUUGA